Molecule: ribosomal RNA, 460 nt
Filed under: uncultured bacterium
Lineage: Bacteria
Description: partial 16S ribosomal RNA
Rfam family: Bacterial small subunit ribosomal RNA
Source: RNAcentral
CCUACGGGAGGCUGCAGUGAGGAAUAUUGGUCAAUGGGCGCGAGCCUGAACCAGCCAAGUAGCGUGAAGGAUGACUGCCCUACGGGUUGUCAACUUCUUUUAUCAAUGCAUCAAGUGAGGCCCGUGUGCCUUUUUGUAUGUACUUUAUGAAUAAGGAUCGGCUAACUCCGUGCCAGCAGCCGCGGUAAUACGGAGGAUCCGAGCGUUAUCCGGAUUUCUUGGGUUUAAAGGGAGCGUAGAUGGGUUGGUAAGUCAGUUGUGAAAGUUUGCGGCUCAACCGUAAAAUUGCAAUUGAUACGGGCAGGCUUGAGUACAUGUGAGGUAGGCGGAAUUCGUGGUGGAGCGGUGAAAUGCUUAGAUAUCACGAAGAACUCCGAGUGCGAAGGCAGCUUACUAAACUGCCACUGACAUUGAUGCUCGAAAGUGUGGGUAUCAAACAGGAUUAGAUACCCCGGUAGUC